This 778-nucleotide ribosomal RNA is filed under the name uncultured Neocallimastigales. Its description in RNAcentral is "partial large subunit ribosomal RNA". It matches the Rfam family "Eukaryotic large subunit ribosomal RNA", at positions 24 to 643 of the family's 3401-position model. The record is from RNAcentral. Lineage: Eukaryota; Fungi; Neocallimastigomycota; Neocallimastigomycetes; Neocallimastigales.
AUAUCUCUGUAGAGUCUGCAUAUCAAUAAGCGGAGGAAAAGAAACUAACUAGGAUUCCCUCAGUAACGGCGAGUGAAGCGGGAAGAGCUCAAAUUUGAAAUCUUCAAGGUUCUACCUUGACGAAUUGUAGUUUAAAGAAGUGUUUCUGUUGACGAUCAUAGUAUAAAGUUCUUUGGAAUAGGACAUCAUAGAGGGUGAGAAUCCCGUAUAUGAUUAUUAUUUGUAAGCUUUGUGAUACACUUUCAAAGAGUCGGAUUGUUUGGGAAUGCAGUCCCAAAAUGGGUGGUAAAUUUCAUCUAAAGCUAAAUAUUGGCGAGAGACCGAUAGCGAACAAGUACCGUGAGGGAAAGAUGAAAAGAACUUUGAAAAGAGAGUUAAACAGUACGUGAAAUUGUCAAAAGGGAAGCGUUUGACACCAGUGUUGUUUUUCCGAAAAUCAAUUACGGAUGGCUUGAUUUUGUGUUGUAUUGACCUUAUCAGCUUUCUUCACUUUUUUCGAGUCUUUCUUAAUGCACUUUUCGGUUAACAAGUCAACAUCAGUUUCUUUUGUUGUAAAAGGGUCAUUGGAAGGUGGCUUUCUUUUCGGAGAAAGUGUUUAUAGCCCUAUACUUCUACAAUCGGAGAGAUUGAGGUCUGCAGCGUAGAUCCUUCGGGGUUAGAUACACUUGUGCUAAGUUAUAGCUUUCAUAGACAACUUGUUGACUAUGAUUCAGUCAUGUCGCUUACUCGCUUAUGCUAUUUUACCUACGCUUAGGAUGUUGAAGAUGUAGCACAUCAU